RNAcentral lists this ribosomal RNA (253 nucleotides) under uncultured bacterium. Its description in RNAcentral is "partial 16S ribosomal RNA". It matches the Rfam family "Bacterial small subunit ribosomal RNA", at positions 524 to 776 of the family's 1533-position model. The record is from RNAcentral.
UACGAAGGGGGCUAGCGUUGUUCGGAAUUACUGGGCGUAAAGCGCACGUAGGCGGAUCUUUAAGUCAGAGGUGAAAUCCCGGGGCUCAACCCCGGAACUGCCUUUGAUACUGGGGAUCUCGAGUUCGGGAGAGGUGAGCGGAACUGCGAGUGUAGAGGUGAAAUUCGUAGAUAUUCGCAAGAACACCAGUGGCGAAGGCGGCUCACUGGCCCGAUACUGACGCUGAGGUGCGAAAGCGUGGGGAGCAAACAGG